AUGAACGCUGGCGGCGUGCCUAAUACAUGCUAGUCGAGCGAACGGACGAGAAGCUUGCUUCUCUGAUGUUAGCGGCGGACGGGUGAGUAACACUUGGAUAACCUACCUAUAAGACUGGGAUAACUUCGGGAAACCGGAGCUAAUACCGGAUAAUAUUUUGAACCGCAUGGUUCAAAAGUGAAAGACGGUCUUGCUGUCACUUAUAGAUGGAUCCGCGCUGCAUUAGCUAGUUGGUAAGGUAACGGCUUACCAAGGCAACGAUGCAUAGCCGACCUGAGAGGGUGAUCGGCCACACUGGAACUGAGACACGGUCCAGACUCCUACGGGAGGCAGCAGUAGGGAAUCUUCCGCAAUGGGCGAAAGCCUGACGGAGCAACGCCGCGUGAGUGAUGAAGGUCUUCGGAUCGUAAAACUCUGUUAUUAGGGAAGAACAUAUGUGUAAGUAACUGUGCACAUCUUGACGGUACCUAAUCAGAAAGCCACGGCUAACUACGUG
This 496-nucleotide ribosomal RNA is filed under the name uncultured bacterium. RNAcentral describes it as "partial 16S ribosomal RNA". It matches the Rfam family "Bacterial small subunit ribosomal RNA", at positions 29 to 507 of the family's 1533-position model. The record is from RNAcentral.